UAGGGAAUCUUCCGCAAUGGGCGAAAGCCUGAUGGAGCAACGCCGCGUGAGUGAUGAAGGUCUUCGGAUCGUAAAACUCUGUUAUUAGGGAAGAACAAAUGUGUAAGUAACUAUGCACGUCUUGCCGGUACCUAAUCAGAAAGCCACGGCUAACUACGUGCCCGCAGCCGCGGUAAUACGUAGGUGGCAAGCGUUAUCCGGAAUUAGUGGGCGUAAAGCGCGCGUAGGCGUUUUUUUAAGUCUGAUGUGAAAGCCCACGGCUCAACCGUGGAGGGUCAUUGGAAACUGGAAAACUUGAGUGCAGAAGAGGAAAGUGGAAUUCCAUGUGUAGCGGUGAAAUGCGCAGAGAUAUGGAGGAACACCAGUGGCGAAGGCGACUUUCUGGUCUGUAACUGACGCUGAUGUGCGAAAGCGGGGGGAUCAAACAGG
This 429-nucleotide ribosomal RNA is filed under the name Actinomycetes bacterium. RNAcentral describes it as "Actinobacteria bacterium partial 16S ribosomal RNA". It matches the Rfam family "Bacterial small subunit ribosomal RNA", at positions 355 to 776 of the family's 1533-position model. Lineage: Bacteria; Bacillati; Actinomycetota; Actinomycetes. The record is from RNAcentral.